This 253-nucleotide ribosomal RNA is filed under the name uncultured bacterium. RNAcentral describes it as "partial 16S ribosomal RNA". It matches the Rfam family "Bacterial small subunit ribosomal RNA", at positions 524 to 776 of the family's 1533-position model. The record is from RNAcentral.
UACGUAGGUGACAAGCGUUAUCCGGAUUUACUGGGUGUAAAGGGCGUGUAGGCGGGUCUGCAAGUCGGAUGUGAAAUUUUCAGGCUUAACCUGGAAGGGUCAUCCGAAACUGCGGAUCUUGAGUACUGGAGAGGAUAGUGGAAUUCCUAGUGUAGCGGUAAAAUGCGUAGAUAUUAGGAGGAACACCAGUGGCGAAGGCGGCUAUCUGGACAGUAACUGACGCUGAGGCGCGAAAGCGUGGGGAGCAAACAGG